AUGGAUUUUGAUGCAUCUGAUGUUCCAUUUGCUACAAGAGUUGAGUCAAAUUUUGGUGAUCAUUUUGGCUCUGAGUUUGCUCAUGAACUUGUGGAUCUUGUUCAGGCCAGACAUCAAGAGAAGCCUAAGAUUUUUGUUGAAUGUUCAGAGUCUCUCAUUGUUGAUGUAUUGAAUUGUGUGUUGCAAUCUUCUUUUCUUGCAAACAUUCAUGCUUCCGUGGAAGUUUUUGGCAGUGAGAAUCAUUCACUGAGCAAGUUCUCAUUUGAGUGUUUCUAUUCAAUCUGCUAUCCCCAAUACAAAGUCUGUGAGAUUUGA
RNAcentral lists this ribosomal RNA (315 nucleotides) under Triticum aestivum (bread wheat). RNAcentral describes it as "partial small subunit ribosomal RNA". Lineage: Eukaryota; Viridiplantae; Streptophyta; Magnoliopsida; Poales; Poaceae. The record is from RNAcentral.